Molecule: ribosomal RNA, 459 nt
Filed under: uncultured bacterium
Lineage: Bacteria
Description: partial 16S ribosomal RNA
Rfam family: Bacterial small subunit ribosomal RNA
Source: RNAcentral
CCUACGGGAGGCAGCAGUGAGGAAUAUUGGUCAAUGGACGAGAGUCUGAACCAGCCAAGUAGCGUGAAGGAUGACUGCCCUAUGGGUUGUAAACUUCUUUUAUAUGGGAAUAAAAUGUUCCACGUGUGGGAUUUUGUAUGUACCAUAUGAAUAAGGAUCGGCUAACUCCGUGCCAGCAGCCGCGGUAAUACGGAGGAUCCGAGCGUUAUCCAGAUUUAUUGGGUUUAAAGGGAGCGUAGGUGAUUGUUAAGUCAGUUGUGAAAGUUUGCGGCUCAACCGUAAAAUUGCAGUUGAAACUGGCAGUCUUGAGUACAGUAGAGGUGGGCGGAAUUCGUGGUGUAGCGGUGAAAUGCUUAGAUAUCACGAAGAACUCCGAUUGCGAAGGCAGUUCACUGGACUGCAACUGACACUGAGGCUCGAAAGUGUGGGUAUCAAACAGGAUUAGAUACCCGAGUAGUC